Molecule: long non-coding RNA, 1642 nt
Organism: Brassica oleracea var. oleracea
Lineage: Eukaryota; Viridiplantae; Streptophyta; Magnoliopsida; Brassicales; Brassicaceae
Exons: 9
Source: RefSeq, a predicted model, not a curated record
UGUUACAGUUAAUGUAUCUGACCGGAGCAUUCAGAGCUAGAUACGGCGGUGUUGGGCCGUUCCAGGAAGCAACAGGUCUUCAAUCGCUUCAUCUCGACGGUGGCAGUUUCGGAAACUAACGAUGCUAACUCCCGGGAAACGCCGGUGGUUUCAAGUCGUUGUUUGAGCUUCCACCUACACAAGCAAUGGAGCUUCUCCAUUUAGUAUCAUUAUAUUUUCAAGCUCUGGAUGUUACCAGUUACCGGAAUCGGUUGAGAUAUCUCUCCACAGUCACUUCACUCUUACGGGACAUUGACUUUUCCUUCUAACUCAGCCCUCUUGGAGCGAACAGCUUGCUUCUGUGAUUGCUGAUGAGCAGCAGUAAAGCGGAAACGUCACCGGUGAGACUACUACAAGAUUGGUACCUUCUAACUCGAACUCUAAUCUGGAAAGAGUCAGAACCGAGCCUGCUGAGACAGAUUCAUCUCGGCUUUUGGUUUGUGAUCAUAGCACGUGAACUAGCCAGAACAAUCGGUCUCGCAAGAGAAAAGAACUCGACGAGAAGGCUAAAAGCACAGCAAAGAAGAAAAACUAAAGCUAUGAAGAAAACGAGAAGCUUUCAUAUGUAAAUGUUAGUGCUGGCCGUUGUAAAGCAAUAUAUAGCCAUAUCUUAGCAGAAGAGCAAGAAGGAAGAAGAUUAGUGCACAGAUGAAGCUGCUACAGGAACUGGUCCCAACUGGUCCCAGGCUGUGAGAUAAGGUUCAUGUUGGAAGAGCGACCCUUGGACGUAUCAUGAAUGUUCUUGGAGAACCCAUUGACGAGAGACGCGAAAUGAAAACGACCACUACUUACCUAUUCGCAGAGAUGCCCCGGCUUUGAUUGAUCUAGCCACCAGACAAGACUCAAGACUCCUUGCCACUGGUAUUAAGGAUCGGCUAGCUAAUCCAAAAUUAUCAUUACUGGUUGUUAGAUUGAUUCAAGUGGCGAUGUAUCAAUUGGAUUACACGUUCGAUAUCAGAGCAGCAGACACGCAUGAAAAGAUAAUUUGUGUGUGGCGUUAAUCCAGAUGCGUCUAUUAGAGCUUGAAAAUUCAUCUAAUCUGAAGUAUACUAAGGAUUAUCUAAGGAGUCUAAUGGUAUUGCUACGAACGUUAGCAAGAAUGUGAAACAUUGCUGUCUCGGGUUUACUGAACUACGAGAACAAGGAAGAUCAUGACUGCUGCCAUUCCUGUGAGGAUGUUGAUGACACAUUUAGAAACAAAGGUUGGGGUGUUACAAAUCCAGAUUUGAUUGACCAGAGGGAUUGAGGUGACAAACGUGGCCAUAGCGUCGUUGGAAAUGCGGGAGUGAAGAUAGCCACAUUGCAGCUGGUGUACAUGGAAAAUUGCAAUUACCUUACUGUUGAUUUCUUCAAGAAGCUUCUCCGGCUCCGAGAGUGCCCAUUGUUUUUCUCGGUUGUGGUCAGUGGCUGAGGCACAUAAGAGACUUCUAGGUUAUUCAAUUUUUCUGAGAUGUUCUCCCUGGGGAGUGGGAAGACAUCAUGCCGUAUCAUUUUAUUACAACAACACAGUUUGUUCUGCUGUCUCUUUGUUUGUAUUCGCUUUUGACCAUUACCUUAUGUGCAUGCGCUCAUACAUAUCAACGAUAUUUUUUAGUUAUGUAGA